Molecule: long non-coding RNA, 872 nt
Organism: Drosophila miranda
Lineage: Eukaryota; Metazoa; Arthropoda; Insecta; Diptera; Drosophilidae
Exons: 2
Source: RefSeq, a predicted model, not a curated record
UCGGACGACAGACAUAAAACAUUAAAAAUAAAUCGAAGGCUGCGACUGUCAACGCUUGCAAAUAAAAAGAAAUAUAAACACACACACUGGAAAUAAAUGUACAUAUGAAGAAAAUAAAAAGAAGCUGCAAUCAUUUUUGCACAAACAACCAGUAAGAGUGGAGGAGGGAGGAGCAACAGAGGGACAAGAAGAGAAGAGACUGAGACUGAGACUGAGACGACAACAAACAACAGAAACAACGACGAUCCGACGAUCCGACGAAGCAAAGCCCCAAAACCCAACGCAUAAAUCGCCAGCAGAGGCAGCGACAGCGACAGAGACUGAGACGUCGUACUUGAAAACCAGUUUUUUCGAAUAAAAAUAUGUCUACUGAAGGUACAGCGCUAAAAGCAACAGCAAACAACAGACAAGAGACAAGAGACAACAACAGCAACAACAGUUUGAGGCAACAUCAACUGCUGCAACAAAAAGAGACCCAAAAGAGUGACUGCCAAUGGAAAUAGUUUAAGAAAUUGUAUCAUCAAAGCCGAAAAGGUCUCGUGUCUCCCUCCCAUAAUAGAUAUGUAUGUACAUGGGAAUAAAGAUAGCGGGGCGCAAAUGGGACAGGAAGUGGCGGAGAGGCGUCUCUGAUAAGCAGGCGAACGGACUUGAAGCAUAGAGAGGCGCACAGUGGCUAGCAGAUGGAUGCAAGGAGACUGGAAAAUGCCAGCCCAGAGGACUUUAAACACAUUUUGAUGGUUCAUUCAUCGAAAAAGAGUCCAGAGAGGGCCUUGAUUGUUAAACAUUUCGAUGGUAUAGCUAGUUUAUGGCUCCCUUCCUUUGCUAAUCAGCAUGGCCUGCCUUCCUCCUGCCGCCCCCCUCUUUGCACUUGA